CUGUCGCAUCGUUGGUUGCUCGGCUACGCCAUGUGCUAUCGAUGAUUUGCAGCCAGUUUCGUGUCGGUCGCUUGCUGGUUCGGUCGUGGUUUGACCAACUCGUGUUGUUUGUUCGGACUUCUGCUUUCUAAAUUCACAUAAUAUUCGAUCAUCAAUCGACUAUUUAAUUGUAACUACUACAGUAAUGUUAUUUAUUAUUUGCGCGUUUAGUGUACAUUAAUGUACAAAAGUGGUAGACACUUGAUCGCGUUUCGUGUGCAUACUUAGGUAUGUGUACUUCAGUGUCGGUCGCUAAUUGAAUUGGAUAUAGAAUGGCCCUCAUGUAGAUUUAUUGAUCAUUAUCCAUGUAUUCUAGUAGCGCAAGAAUGGUUUUAGACGAUGCACUUUAUGGCAUCCGCGAAGUUCCGACAUAACUGCCUUAAAAUGGCCGCUAAACUUUGUCCCACUUCUGCAUCUUUAGGUGUCUAGCAGGUGAUCAGAAUGUCCUAGGACAACGAUUCUUUGAUCAGAUUGCAUCUAGCAGGCGAUCAGAAUGUCCUAGGACAACGAUUCUUUGAUCAGAUUGCGUCUAGCAAGCGAUCAGAAUGUCCUAGGACAACGAUUUUUUGAUCAAAUUGAAUCUAGCAGGCGAUUAAAAUGUCCUAGGACAACGAUUUUUUGAUCAGAUUGCGUCUAGCAGGCGAUCAGAAUGUCCUAGGACAACGAUUUUUUCAUCAGAUAGCGUCUAGCAGGCGAUCAGAAUGUCCUAGGACAACGAUUUUUUCAUCAGAUAGCGUCUAGCAGGCGAUCAGAAUGUCCUAGGACAACGAUUCUUUGACCAGAUUGCGUCUUGCAGGCGAUCAGAAUGUCCUAGGACAACGAUGCCUUCAUGAGAUUUUUUAGGCAUCUAGCAGGCGAUCAGAAUGUCCAAGGACAACCAUUCUUACAUCAGAUUGCGUCUAGCAGGCGAUCAGAAUGUUCUAGGACAACGAUUCUUUCAUCAGAUUGCAUCUAGCAGGCGAUCAGAAUGUCCUAGGACAACGAUUCUUUGAUCAGAUUGCGUCUAGCAGGCUAUCAGAAUGUCCUAGGACAACGAUUCUUUGAUCAGAUUGCAUCUAGCUGGCGAUCAGAAUGUCCUACGACAACGAUUCUUUCAUCAGAUUCAUUACUAGAAUCGAUUGACAAUCAGAGGCAGAGACAGCGUAGUAACAGCCCAGGGACGUGCACAACGAAUGAUUUGAGUGAUUCUUUGAGAUGCGCGCGGGGAGUCCGUCGGAUAUGUUCCGGUGACUAUGGAUACUUACUGGAACUCAAGUUAAAUGUAUGUGUUUGACAUGAGUACAAGUGAGUACGUUUGGAAUCUCCGCGAGGAAUAGUAAAGAAGUGCGUAUCAUCAAGUCUACAUACUAUUUGCGGAAACGUGUUUGUGCGCUUUGGUUCUUUAUUGAUAAAAGAACAAAGGAGUAAGUAAUCUAAUAAAACUUCACUUUUAUUUAACUUUAUAAAUCUUACAGUUGCUUUGUAAUAAUUGUAAAUGUUCGGUUAAUAAAGAAUAUUUUUAGGGAAA
Molecule: RNA transcript, 1546 nt
Organism: Dalotia coriaria
Lineage: Eukaryota; Metazoa; Arthropoda; Insecta; Coleoptera; Staphylinidae
Exons: 15
Source: RefSeq, a predicted model, not a curated record